Molecule: ribosomal RNA, 431 nt
Filed under: uncultured bacterium
Lineage: Bacteria
Description: partial 16S ribosomal RNA
Rfam family: Bacterial small subunit ribosomal RNA
Source: RNAcentral
AACGAACGCUGGCGGCAGGCUUAACACAUGCAAGUCGAACGGACCGCAAGGGGUUUGGCCGGCGGGUGAGUAACGCGUGGGAACAUACCCUUUUCUACGUAAUAGCUCGGGGAAGAUGGCAUUAAUACAGUAUCGGUCCUACGGGGGAAAGGUUUAGCGGGGAAGGAUGGGACCGUGUUGGAUUAGCUUGUUGGUGGGGUAAAGGCCUACCAAGGCGACGAUCGAUAGCUGGUCUGAGAGGAUGAUCAGCCACAUUGGGACUGAGACACGGCCCAAACUCCUACGGGAGGCAGCAGUGGGGAAUAUUGGACAAUGGGCGCAAGCCUGAUCCAGCCAUGCCGGGUAAGUGAUGAAGGCCUUAGGGUUGGAAAGCUCUUUCACCGAUGAAGAUAAUGACGGUAGUCGGAGAAGAAGCCCCGGCUAACUUCGUG